CAAGAGCCGGAGCCACAGCAGGAUUGAAUCCCACGGGUGCAGGCCCUGAUGGCGCCAUUAAAUGUCCAGCUGAUGCUGCUGCUCCACUGCCACUACCACCUGAGUUUUUUAAGGUAACAAUUAAAUCAACUUUACUGCACAGGAUUUAAGUUAAAUGCAUGUAAUGAAUUUUUUACACUGCUAUUAAAUUCUGCAAUUAGAUUUUAAAGUGAUAAACUCCAUAUUGUAUUAAAUAAAUAAAUAUUAAAAAAAAAUCAUUGUAUACAAGCGGUAUUCAAAAGUUAGAGAAUCCUACACAAACAUAGUGAACUUCUUCACUACCUGAAUAUUUCCCCUUCUUUGCAGGAUGCUGAUAAUACUGCUGGUGCUGCUGGUGCUGAGGGUAAUGCUGUUGCGGCUGCUGGUGCUGCUGAUAGUAAUUCUUAUUGUGUUUCGGCCCAUCAACAGCCUUCUGACAAUGAAGUGUAUGCCCUUCAAAGCUCUUGUGUGGCUCCUCCAACGCCCUUCUUGCACUCUCGACACUCUUAUACACAAACAAACAAAA
This 544-nucleotide long non-coding RNA is filed under the name Nicotiana tabacum (common tobacco). RNAcentral's name for it is "long non-coding RNA (NTAB_LNC011546)". The record is from RNAcentral. Lineage: Eukaryota; Viridiplantae; Streptophyta; Magnoliopsida; Solanales; Solanaceae.